This 40-nucleotide transfer RNA is filed under the name Lepidium meyenii. RNAcentral describes it as "partial tRNA-Leu". The record is from RNAcentral. Lineage: Eukaryota; Viridiplantae; Streptophyta; Magnoliopsida; Brassicales; Brassicaceae.
GGUUCAAGUCCCUCUAUCCCCAACUCUACUCCCCAAAAGA